Molecule: long non-coding RNA, 695 nt
Organism: Xenia sp. Carnegie-2017
Lineage: Eukaryota; Metazoa; Cnidaria; Anthozoa; Malacalcyonacea; Xeniidae
Exons: 3
Source: RefSeq, a predicted model, not a curated record
ACAUCAAUAUGUCCCUCAUGGAUGUCACAUAUAUGGUUGAGAACUGACAACAACUUUGCCUUCACAAGUUCUUCAUCACCAUUUCUGAAAGCAGCACACCAGUAUACAUGGUUGGAAAUUGAUUGGGCCCAAUCUGACAAUAAUUUGCAACCACUUUUUUUUGAUGCUGCCCAAAUGUUCUUUUUAAUUCCUGUUGGAUUUUGAUUAUUGAUGAAAUGUGUAAAAGGAUUUGAUUUGAGCAUGUCUGUCUGUGGUCAUUGACUUCACCUUCAUCCCACUUUCAUCAAACUUUGCCAGACAUCUCUUUAAUCCCUCAAGUUCCAUUGCUCCAGAGUUCGUCACUUCAUUGGACUAUGUAACAUAAUUAUAUUCCAAAUCCAUGCAGCUAUAUGACCCAUACUUGGCACAGUAUCCAGGCGAAUCACAUCUUCCAUCUCCUCCAAGGUUAAUGUUCCUUUCUCUGAUUGAUUCUAGAAGAUGCUUUUGGUUCAUAUGCCAAACAUUUGAAACACUGGGUAUCAAAUACGCUGUUUGAAUAUUGCUAUAUGUGCGCUCUGACAGAAAUUGUAUGCCUGAGUGACGAAGGAAUUGAAGAACUUUGCUGGGGCUACUACCACUAAACAAGAUGCUGGCAGCAAAGACCAAGUUACCCAAAGGCAUUCGCCCAUGCAGAGGUUGGCUAUUCCAGUCUCGAA